Long non-coding RNA from Vicia villosa (hairy vetch), 4226 nucleotides. RefSeq lists it as uncharacterized. The transcript is spliced from 3 exons. The record is from RefSeq and is a predicted model, not a curated record. NCBI's taxonomy places the organism in Eukaryota, Viridiplantae, Streptophyta, Magnoliopsida, Fabales, Fabaceae.
CCAUUCCUUAGAUAUGAUUGCCCUCUAAAACAAAUAUUGAUUGAGCCCCGCUAAAAUUCGUUCUCCAGAAAACAUUGAGCCCUAAAAUCAUCUUCCUCCAUCGUUUACCAUCGUUUCUGAGGGAAUCCUCUUAAAGCAUAUAAAGUUCGUCCUUCUCACUGGAGCCUUCAACGAAACCCUAACUUUCUGCUUAUUCUAAAGUCUAAUUUACUCGACAAAUCAUGGAGCCCUAGUUCUCAAAAUUAUUCACUCUCUCAUUCUUUUUAGUUUUUAUUAUUCUUUACUUCUUACUAAUUAACCUAUUUAUUCUCGCAGACUGACUAAGUCUUUGGAGGAGCUUAAUAAUGAGCAAGAGGUGAAAUCCUCAAUUUUGUCGCUGGUAAUGUAUAUUCUUGGUUUUAUUUACUUCUGUAGAGGUUUUAAAUACAUGUGUGGUAUCAUGUGUGGUGAUUUAAGUGGAUCUAAGAUCAGUUAGAUGUCGCACCAGAAUGAAUCAAACCCACUCGCCGACACCUAACUAUGUCACACUUUAUUAUACCACAGAGGUAACUUGCUUCCAUCAACUAUGUUGCCAAAUAGGGUGGCCUUUCAAAGUUUUUGUUUGUGUAAAUAUUAUUAUUAUUCGAUUCCUCUUUCAUCAUGAAGGAUUAGUGUUACUGUAUGGGCGACCGAGUUAACGAUUUUGAAUCUGUCUGACUGAGCAUGAUAUUUUUUCUUAGGUAGUGUGCAUUAUAGGCUUGGAUCUAGUGAAUAGAGGUUACUCUGCUUGUGUGGGCAACUGUUUUUCAGUUUGCCUCUGCAAACAUUUGGUUUUAUUGUUCUACAAUGGGUCAAUGAGUUUGAAUAUGUGUAACUGAGCAGGAUAUUUUUUCUUAGGUAGUGCACAUUCUAGACUUGGAUCUGGUGGCUUGAGGCUGCUUUGCUUGCGUGGGAAACUGUUUUUUAUUUUGUCUCGGCCAACAUUUUGAUUUAUUAUGCUACACUGGGUCAUUUUGAGAAGCAGGAGGGGUCUGUUUUUGAGUAUUUUUGUCACUUGCUGGUUGCUUUUACCCGAGACGGUUUUUGAUUUGCUACAAGGUUUUUUCAUCAUUGCUUAUGGGUUGAAGAUUUUCUAAUAAUGAGAGCCCUUUAUGACCUGGUCAUUUGUUACACAAUUUUUAUUGUUUUGCUAGGUGUGUGAAUAAAUCGUUUAGGGCCUAAAUGAUAUGCAAGUUUCCCUUUAAGUUCAUGUUUUAUAGCUGAUUCCUUGUCCUUCACAAUAUCACUUCAACAUUCUUAUGCUUAUUUUUAUAGCCAUUGGUCUGUUUAGUGCAGGAUGCUGGUGUGUGUUUCCUUGUAGGUAUUGCUAAUGGUUCAGGAUGCACAAAGGGCUCUCAUAUAUUCCAAUUCCAAGCCUCAUCUUAUUUGACCCGAUCCAAUAGAAAAUAACGGGGGUAUCCGACUUGAAAUCACAAACAAGAUAGGCUUCGUAGCAACAAUAUCUCAAGGCAUUGAUUGUAUUGUUAUUCUGCACGUGGGUAUGUUUUAGAGCAUGACAGUGGGGGUAUUCUGUUGGAAUUUUAAAGGUUUUUAGCAGAAGUUGUUUCUCGGCCAACAUCUUACUUCUUGUUAAAUGGUGGGGGACUUGGUCUGCGCCCUAAAGUGCUGGAAAUCAGGCAUGACACUUUUAUCUCUUCCUUUUGAUAUAUUCACUGAUCUUCUUUAUGGGAAAUGUAUGUUUCGGUUGCCUUAGGAUAUUGGUUGUUGGUUUGUUGUGAUGUCAUGGUUUAAGUACAAAGGUAGUCUUAAACGGCUAUUUUAUUGGGUGAGUAGUGUGAGCAAAUUUGUAUGCAUUUAUAGUGGCCUUUUUUGUCUGUGGAGUUUUGUGUAUGUUUAUGCAUACUAUCCCAUUACACUCUGUACUUUUGUGUGGCUCUAUUCAUACACAUAUUGUGUUAGAAGUUUUUUUGAUAUAAUUUAAUGAUUAAAAAACUUAUUAAACCACUGAUACUGAUACUAUGUUCUAUGGAAUUGAAUAUUGGAUUCCCUCAUUCAUGGUAUUUUGGUUUUGUUAGCAAUUUGUCAGUGGUGGUUCAGUUAGCAUUACUUGCUGUAGAUUGUAGUUUUAGGCAUGGCUAUUGUAUCAUUUUUGUAUUGGGGGUUUAACAUUAGACUUUAUGAGGUGAUUUCCAACAACAGUACCUAAACCAUGACAAUGUCAAGAGAUGACAUGAAGGUGUUUGAUGAAAAAAAGUUACCUAGUGUGUACUUAAUGCAUAUGCUGGUCGAGAAUCAAAGUUCAUGUGAAUCUCAGAUGAAGAUGUGAAUGUUGUAAAAGAGGUAGCGACAUUGAAGGCAAUGGAUGAGGAAAGAAGUAAGCAUUAUUCAUGAGAGGCUUCUUAGGGAUAAUACAAAAGAUUAUGGAUGAUAUGAUCCAACACCAACUUUUUCUAAGCCUCCUUUCAAACUCAUACCAAAUUGAAUUAUAUCGUUCAAAGAAUGAAUCCUUCAAAGUUGGUAUCGAUCGGAAAUAUAAAUACUAUGUAAAAUAAAUAAUCCAAUGUUUUAUCAUCUUAACAUAUUGAAAUGGCUACUUUAAGGAUCCUUUAACAGUAGAUUUUAUGAGGUGAUUUCCAACGAACCUUACCAUUUGUUGGCUCAUUUUUACUAAACAUCUCUAAGUGUGUAGGCUGGUCUUCUUCCUUAGGUAUUCCGAAUAUAGUUUAUUGCUUUGGUCCAACAACCGGUGCACCUCAUGCAUAUGAUUAUAUCUAUUUUUUUUUUUAUAAAAAAAACUGCCUAUAAUAGCGUUUUUAGAAAAAGAGCUAUUAAAAACUGUUUAUUAGUAUGGCUUAUGAUAGCGCUUUUUGGUAAAGUGCUAUCAUAGAUUGUCAACCGAUAAUAGCGCUUUUAUGAGAAGUGAUAUUAAAGACACGCUUUAAUAAUGGAGGUUGUUGAUCUGAGUUAUCAGUAUAUCGAAAGUGGAACAUUAGCCUACUGCAAGAGUGUCUGUCUACUAAUCUCAUUGACAAGUUGCAUGUUAUCCUUCUGCCUUCUAUAGACCAAGGUACUCAUCAAAGAGUUUGGGGUGGAGCAAAUGCAUAUACUUUUAAGUUAUUAUAUGCUUAUAAAGUGUUAUGUAAUUUCAAUGAAGGCCGAUUAGAUAUUGUAUAUGGGAUCAAAUAUGGCGCAUCAUUGUUUUUGAAAGCGGAUAUGGAUUUAUUUGAAUUUUGAAUCAUGGUAGAUUGCUUACGAAUCAUACUAAGAAUUAUGAUAAUGAGAUCGAGGAUAUUCUUCAUGGAUAGAGGAUAUUCUUCAUGUCAUGUGUGCUUGCAUGUUGGCCAAAGAGAUCUGGUGUGUUUUUGUUUUCUGGAGGAUGCUUGAAGUUUUUUUUGAGGAAAAUCUUAGAAAGUGGAUUCGCCUCAACAUUUUACAUGAUCGUGGUGGUUACGAUAAAAUUACUUGGUCAGAGUUAUGGGCUGCCAGUGCCAUUCUCUUUGGAGAUGGACGAAUAUGGAACUCAUAACGAUACUUUCAAUAGACACUGAUGACCUUGUCAUGAGAUUAUGGCGUGGGUGAAAGAUUAUCAAUUAGUCUAAAAUAACAAUUCAAUUCAUCAAAGUAGGUGUGAUAUGCAAGAUAGGACCACAUGGAAUGUUCUAGAGGAUAGUUGGUUUGUUUGAGCACUAAGAGUACAAUUUGAGGAGAUAAUAAGCAAGGUGUGAUGAUUUAGUUAGAAGUGCAAGGUAUAUAGUUAUGUGUUUUUUCUAAAAAUCCUAAAAGACGUAAUGCAAGGUAUAUAGUUGGGUGUCUUGAAUGAGUUAUGUCUAGCGCAAACUCAUGGAUAUUCAAAAGUUGAGCUUUAUGUGAGUUCAAAGACUAUCAUUGAUACAUUGAAAAAAGAAAGUAUGUGCAGUGUCGGUGGUUGAAAAUUAAUUCCACAAAUCACACAUAUUUUGGCUAUAAAAUGAGAAAUGAAAAUUUAUUAUUUGUAUCGUGAAACAAAUGCUUGAUGCUCUCCCGCAUACAUUGAUUGUGAUCUUAGUUCCAUUUUGAUUUUGUAUGAACAAUAUCCUGUUUAAGGGGUCUCUUUGUUUCGUGGAUUAAAAUUAUAAUUCUAGGAAUAUUAUUUCUUGAUGAAAAAAUUUAUUUAUUUUUAAUAAUUAUAAAAUAAAUGAAUUAAAAUAUUUGGGAGUGGAAAAUUAUGAGUGAUUACUUUUUAUUCCAUGAGAAUGUAAGAUUGCCAC